UUAAAACGCAAGUAUGAUUGAACCAAAAAGUGCAUCUAUUUUGAAGUCUAAACCACCCAAUCCAAUCAAAUUUAACGCAAACUAACAUUGCCAUUACGCUAAGAUUCAAGACUGCUACAGUAAAGGCCAUGUCUCAUAUUUAAAAUUAAAAAAAAGGGCAUGGAUGCACAGCAAUGACAGCAUACAAAACUACCAAUCUAAAGCUAUCCGUAGCAUAAUAGACACACUGCAACUACAUCAUGUCCUUGACAGAGCUAAAUCUCUAAUAUACCACCUCAUGAGUCAAAAUCUACAGUUUGAGGAGCAUCAAAGAUGUCACAUGUAUUAUUCAUAACUGAUGCAGGAUACUACUCCUAAUGCAAAAACUAUUUUAGGUACAUUUUUUCCUGAGAAGCAUUGUCAACAUGAUUUGAGAUGUUG
This 420-nucleotide unclassified non-coding RNA is filed under the name Hevea brasiliensis (rubber tree). The record is from RNAcentral. Lineage: Eukaryota; Viridiplantae; Streptophyta; Magnoliopsida; Malpighiales; Euphorbiaceae.